GUCCCUGUAGCGCAAUGGAUAGCACGUUGAACUUCUAAUUCGAAGGUCAUGGGUUUGAAUCCCACCUGGGAUG
RNAcentral lists this transfer RNA (73 nucleotides) under Trichonephila inaurata madagascariensis. It matches the Rfam family "tRNA". From Rfam's summary of the family: Transfer RNA (tRNA) molecules are approximately 80 nucleotides in length. Their secondary structure includes four short double-helical elements and three loops (D, anti-codon, and T loops). Lineage: Eukaryota; Metazoa; Arthropoda; Arachnida; Araneae; Nephilidae. The record is from Rfam by way of RNAcentral.